RNAcentral lists this ribosomal RNA (289 nucleotides) under uncultured Bacteriovorax sp. Its description in RNAcentral is "partial 16S ribosomal RNA". Lineage: Bacteria; Pseudomonadati; Bdellovibrionota; Bacteriovoracia; Bacteriovoracales; Bacteriovoracaceae. The record is from RNAcentral.
CUACCAGGGUUUCUAAUCCUGUUUGAUCCCCACGCUUUCGCGCCUCAGCGUCAAUACUCGUCCAGGAAGGCGCCUUCGCCUCUGGUGUUCCAUCGCAUAUCUACGGAUUUUACCCCUACAUGCGAUAUUCCCCUUCCCCCUCCGAGAUUCUAGACCUGUAGUUUCAGACGCAGUUUCGAGGUUGAGCCCCGAGAUUUCACAUCUGACUUGCAGGUCCGCCUACGCGCGCUUUACGCCCAAUAAAUCCGAACAACGCUUGCACCCUUCGUAUUACCGCGGCUGCUGGCAC